RNAcentral lists this ribosomal RNA (440 nucleotides) under uncultured bacterium. Its description in RNAcentral is "partial 16S ribosomal RNA". It matches the Rfam family "Bacterial small subunit ribosomal RNA", at positions 338 to 795 of the family's 1533-position model. The record is from RNAcentral.
CCUACGGGAGGCAGCAGUGGGGAAUAUUGCACAAUGGGGGAAACCCUGAUGCAGCAACGCCGCGUGAGCGAAGAAGCAUUUCGGUAUGUAAAGCUCUUUCAGCAGGGAAGAAUAUAACCGGUACCCGCUCAAAAACCCCCGCUAACUACGUGCCAGCAGGCGCGGUAAUACGUAGGGGGCAAGGGUUUUCCGGAUUUACCGGGUGUAAAGGGAGCGUAGACGGCUUGGCAAGCCAGAGGUGAAAAGCUGCGGCUCAACCGCAGAACUGCAUUUGGAACUGUUUUGCUAGAGUGUCGGAGAGGCAGGCGGAAUUCCUAGUGUAGCGGUGAAAUGCGUAGAUAUUAGGAGGAACACCAGUGGCGAAGGCGGCCUGCUGGACGAUAACUGACGUUGAGGCUCGAAAGCGUGGGGAGCAAACAGGAUUAGAUACCCUAGUAGUC